RNAcentral lists this ribosomal RNA (511 nucleotides) under uncultured bacterium. RNAcentral describes it as "bacterial SSU rRNA". It matches the Rfam family "Bacterial small subunit ribosomal RNA", at positions 9 to 509 of the family's 1533-position model. The record is from RNAcentral.
GAGUUUGACCUGGCUCAGGAUGAACGCUAGCUACAGGCUUAACACAUGCAAGUCGAGGGGCAGCAUUAAAGUUUGCUUGCAAACUUUAGAUGGCGACCGGCGCACGGGUGAGUAACACGUAUCCAACCUGCCGAUAACUCGGGGAUAGCCUUUCGAAAGAAAGAUUAAUACCCGAUGGUAUAUUUUCACCGCAUGGUGAAACUAUUAAAGAAUUUCGGUUAUCGAUGGGGAUGCGUUCCAUUAGGCAGUUGGUGAGGUAACGGCUCACCAAACCUUCGAUGGAUAGGGGUUCUGAGAGGAAGGUCCCCCACAUUGGAACUGAGACACGGUCCAAACUCCUACGGGAGGCAGCAGUGAGGAAUAUUGGUCAAUGGGCGCGAGCCUGAACCAGCCAAGUAGCGUGAAGGAUGACGGCCCUAUGGGUUGUAAACUUCUUUUAUAUGGGAAUAAAGUUUGGUAUGUAUACCAUUUUGUAUGUACCAUAUGAAUAAGGAUCGGCUAACUCCGUGCC